Molecule: long non-coding RNA, 1224 nt
Organism: Perca fluviatilis (European perch)
Lineage: Eukaryota; Metazoa; Chordata; Actinopteri; Perciformes; Percidae
Exons: 4
Source: RefSeq, a predicted model, not a curated record
AAAUAUAUUUACAACAUAUCUUGGGCUGUACAUCCCAAGUACAGCCCUAAACAUUCAGCAGCUGUGUACAGCAUUGUACACAGCUGCUAUCAUUUACAGUGGCACAAAUAUAUCAGAAAGUAUGUGUUGUAUAUGCAACACACACUUUCUGGUAUAUUGGUACCUACCAGCUCAAACCCCACAUUUACAUGCCACCCAGUUUCAGGGUGGGUGGCUGUUAUAGACUAUAACUCAUGUAGGUUUACUUUCUCCUGGACGAGAGACACAGUUCUCCUGUGUCCUCUGUGAGGACACCGCCAGCUUUGGCCUCACAUCCUUCAUCACUGUGAAGAAGGACAACAACCAACAGAUGUAGCAGCAGCAGCAGCUUAACUCUCCAUCAACAAUGGACAGACAGUCACUGUUGGACCUCACAGGGACACCUUUCCCUUCAUGCUAGUCCCAGCCAUUCUUCCAAGCAGAGGAUGAGAUAACACCUGCCUGCCUUUGCCUCACCUUCUCUCUGGCUCUAAAACUGAAAAAAUGGACCACACUGCCUGCUUUCCACCUGACAGCGCUGAAGAGUCUUCACAACAGAAGGUUUGUCUCUGCUGUGAUUACUCCACUUCACACAAUGGAGACAAUCAAAUCAAAUAAAGAAGGCUAAACAUUACAAGAAGCUGAACCUCGUGCAGUCUUCGUAAACUACUCUGUGUAAAAUGGCACUGGACAGAAAUGUUGUGUUGUCCUGCAGCAGUGUUCAAGGACCUGCUUCGAUCUCCUACGUCCACAUCUUUGGAUCCAAUGCUUUCCACAGUUCAGUAAAGCCCAACUACUGUUGACGUUUGGCAAGUGAUCAGGUGAACUGAUAAGGGAAACCAAAUUUAUGCUGAUCAUUCAUUAGUCAGUCAUCACUGUCACAGAGACAGCUCCUCCUCAAUGCAGCAUUAUUCUUUGCCCUAUACAAGUUGUAAAGGCUUCUGCUCCUCUGUGUCACAACAGUGAUGCUGUUGUCACACCAAAGACCGGCCAGAUACCUGGAAGCAGCACUUCUACAGUCCCUGGAUCAUCAAAGGUCACAAUGCUACAGCCCCUUACAUCUUCACAAUGACACUGUGCUCUGUUAAGAGUUUUGGUUUGUGCCAACAAUGGACGGACUCAACAAUUAGCAACUUAGACUGCUGACCCAAGGACACUAUGACUUUAUUUUUGGUACGUUGAUAAUUGCUAUAUACCUCAUGUAAU